UACUUCUGAUGAAAGGGAUGUUUACUACCAGGCAUCUAACUUGAACCUGAUCUGGCAAGCUGCUGAGAAAUGAAAGAAGACCUCAGUACAACACAUGUAAAGCUGAUUUUAAUCCACGUAGAGCUGAGCCACCCUGAAGAAAUCACCAUCUACAUGUUUAUGCUCUCAUGAAGAAAUGAACAGGAAGGGGAGCACCAUGGUUACAGCUUCAUUUCUCA
Molecule: long non-coding RNA, 218 nt
Organism: Strigops habroptila (Kakapo)
Lineage: Eukaryota; Metazoa; Chordata; Aves; Psittaciformes; Psittacidae
Exons: 3
Source: RefSeq, a predicted model, not a curated record